AGAGUUUGUUCCUGGCUCAGGAUGAACGCUGGCGGCGUGCUUAACACAUGCAAGUCGAACGGGAAACCUUUUAUUGAAGCUUCGGCAGAUUUAGAUUGUUUCUAGUGGCGGACGGGUGAGUAACGCGUGGGUAACCUGCCUUAUACAGGGGGAUAACAGUCAGAAAUGACUGCUAAUACCGCAUAAGCGCACAGAGCUGCAUGGCUCAGCGUGAAAAACUCCGGUGGUAUAAGAUGGACCCGCGUUGGAUUAGCUGGUUGGUGAGGUAACGGCCCACCAAGGCGACGAUCCAUAGCCGGCCUGAGAGGGUGAACGGCCACAUUGGGACUGAGACACGGCCCAGACUCCUACGGGAGGCAGCAGUGGGGAAUAUUGCACAAUGGGGGAAACCCUGAUGCAGCGACGCCGCGCGAAGGAAGAAGUAUCUCGGUAUGUAAACUUCUAUCAGCAGGGAAGAAUUAGGACGGUACCUGACUAAGAAGCCCCGGCUAACUACGUGCCAGCAGCCGCGGUAAUACGUAGGGGGCAAGCGUUAUCCGGAUUUACUGGGUGUAAAGGGAGCGUAGACGGAUGGACAAGUCUGAUGUGAAAGGCUGGGGCUCAACCCCGGGACUGCAUUGGAAACUGCCCGUCUUGAGUGCCGGAGAGGUAAGCGGAAUUCCUAGUGUAGCGGUGAAAUGCGUAGAUAUUAGGAGGAACACCAGUGGCGAAGGCGGCUUACUGGACGGUAACUGACGUUGAGGCUCGAAAGCGUGGGGAGCAAACCAGGAUUAGAUACCCUGGUAGUCCACGCGGUAAACGAUG
RNAcentral lists this ribosomal RNA (804 nucleotides) under uncultured bacterium. RNAcentral's name for it is "bacterial SSU rRNA". It matches the Rfam family "Bacterial small subunit ribosomal RNA", at positions 8 to 811 of the family's 1533-position model. The record is from RNAcentral.